UACGGAGGGGGUUAGCGUUAAUCGGAAUUACUGGGCGUAAAGGGUGCGCAGGCGGCCCCGCAUGUCGAGUGUGAAAUCCCCGAGCUUAACUUGGGAAUGGCGCUCGAAACUACGGGGCUGGAGUGUGGCAGAGGGAGGUGGAAUUCCACGUGUAGCGGUGAAAUGCGUAGAGAUGUGGAGGAACACCGAUGGCGAAGGCAGCCCCCUGGGCUAACACUGACGCUCAGGUGCGAAAGCGUGGGGAGCAAACAGG
RNAcentral lists this unclassified non-coding RNA (253 nucleotides) under uncultured Gammaproteobacteria bacterium. RNAcentral describes it as "contains 16S-23S intergenic spacer region". It matches the Rfam family "Bacterial small subunit ribosomal RNA", at positions 524 to 776 of the family's 1533-position model. The record is from RNAcentral. Lineage: Bacteria; Pseudomonadati; Pseudomonadota; Gammaproteobacteria.